GCUUCGUUGAGGCUCACAGUGGUAGAUUGCAGAUGAUCCACAUCCCGGUAUGGAAUACCGGAGCGUAGAUACCAAAAUACAAAUCUAUCCAUGCAAGCAUUUACCGCCAGAUUAUGGCGGUUUUUUUUUGCCCGUUUAUCGUACCGGCUGUGAAAAUUGUUUGCGAUAUUGCGCGG
Molecule: small RNA, 176 nt
Filed under: Enterobacter hormaechei
Lineage: Bacteria; Pseudomonadati; Pseudomonadota; Gammaproteobacteria; Enterobacterales; Enterobacteriaceae
Description: STnc560
Rfam family: STnc560 Hfq binding RNA
Source: RNAcentral